Molecule: ribosomal RNA, 366 nt
Filed under: uncultured bacterium
Lineage: Bacteria
Description: bacterial SSU rRNA
Rfam family: Bacterial small subunit ribosomal RNA
Source: RNAcentral
AGUGAACGCUGGCGGUAGGCCUAACACAUGCAAGUCGAACGGCAGCACAGCAGUAGCAAUACUGUGGGUGGCGAGUGGCGGACGGGUGAGGAAUACAUCGGAAUCUACCUUUUCGUGGGGGAUAACGUAGGGAAACUUACGCUAAUACCGCAUAAGACCUUCGGGUGAAAGCCGGGGACCGUUCGGCCUGGCGCGGAUAGAUGAGCCGAUGUCGGAUUAGCUUGUUGGCGGGGUAAAGGACCCACCAAGGCGACGAUCCGUAGCUGGUCUGAGAGGAUGAUCAGCCACACUGGAACUGAGACACGGUCCAGACUCCUACGGGAGGCAGCAGUGGGGAAUAUUGGACAAUGGGCGCAAGCCUGAUCC